Molecule: long non-coding RNA, 657 nt
Organism: Rhipicephalus microplus (southern cattle tick)
Lineage: Eukaryota; Metazoa; Arthropoda; Arachnida; Ixodida; Ixodidae
Source: RefSeq, a predicted model, not a curated record
GUUGAAAACGGAAACUCUAAAUGUGAUCUCUACUCCGUCAUGUUGUCUACACUCAUGUGCAUUAUGACCACUCGCAUCUGAGAUGCGAGCUUGAACUCUUGACCAAGAAGUGGCUCGAAGAAGGACCUCCAGCCCACCAAAAUCUGACAGCCACAAUCUGGAACGGAGGCUUUCUAAUGGAUAUUUGCCAUCUAUCUACAAGUGUACAGACCUUUGCUGUCAAAUUGUUUCACUGCACAAACACCCAGUUUGCCCCGAAGAGUACCGUUUUGGAUAUUCAAGCAUGGUGGAGAGAACAUGCGUUGCUGCACUUCACUGCAACGAAAAUACCCGAAGACAAAAAUCAAAAGGCUGCUGUUGUUGCAGCUGUGAAAGAAUCUUGCUCCUACUUUGCACAAUUGCUUGAAUGCUUGAUUUGAACAUAUUGCUUGAAUGCUCGGUUUCUACCAGUUCGGCCCAGACUACCUUGGUCCUUCGUCACAUAUUGACUGUAGUGAAAAUUGAAAAAGGAAAACAUAGGCCAUGGUUUUGUUGCAGGACGGUUGCGAUCAAGAAGCUUUUAUCAAGUCAUCAUGCAUGUCAGCCUCCAAGGACACAGUGAGCUUUCGGGCAGAUGCUAAAAUUAAUUGAUGAUUAAAAAAGUUUAUUGUAGCUUUA